GAUGAAGAACGUAGCAAAAUGCGAUACUUGGUGUGAAUUGCAGAAUCCCGUGAACCAUCGAGUUUUUGAACGCAAGUUGCGCCCGAAGCCUUUUGGCCGAGGGCACGUCUGCCUGGGCGUCACGCAUCGCGUCGCCCCCCACGAUUCUCCGUAAAGGGAACGUGUGUUUUGGGGGCGGAUAUUGGUCUCCCGUGCUCAUGGCGUGGUUGGCCGAAAUAGGAGUCCUUUCGAUGGACGCACGAACUAGUGGUGGUCGUAAAAACCCUCGUCUUUUGUUUCGCGCUGUUGCUCGCAAGGUAAACUCUUUAAAAACCCCAAUGUGUCGUCUCUUGACGACGCUUCGACCGCGACCCCAGGUCAGGCGGGACUACCCGCUGAGUUUAAGCAUAUCAAUAAGCGGAGGA
RNAcentral lists this unclassified non-coding RNA (404 nucleotides) under soil metagenome. RNAcentral's name for it is "partial contains 5.8S ribosomal RNA, internal transcribed spacer 2, and large subunit ribosomal RNA". The stretch from base 1 to 122 matches the Rfam family "5.8S ribosomal RNA", at positions 35 to 154 of the family's 154-position model. The record is from RNAcentral.